RNAcentral lists this ribosomal RNA (671 nucleotides) under Salmonella enterica subsp. enterica serovar Newport. RNAcentral describes it as "partial 23S ribosomal RNA". It matches the Rfam family "Bacterial large subunit ribosomal RNA", at positions 161 to 871 of the family's 2925-position model. Lineage: Bacteria; Pseudomonadati; Pseudomonadota; Gammaproteobacteria; Enterobacterales; Enterobacteriaceae. The record is from RNAcentral.
AAUCCAUAGGUUAAUGAGGCGAACCGGGGGAACUGAAACAUCUAAGUACCCCGAGGAAAAGAAAUCAACCGAGAUUCCCCCAGUAGCGGCGAGCGAACGGGGAGGAGCCCAGAGCCUGAAUCAGCAUGUGUGUUAGUGGAAGCGUCUGGAAAGGCGCGCGAUACAGGGUGACAGCCCCGUACACAAAAGCGCAUGUGCUGUGAGCUCGAUGAGUAGGGCGGGACACGUGGUAUCCUGUCUGAAUAUGGGGGGACCAUCCUCCAAGGCUAAAUACUCCUGACUGACCGAUAGUGAACCAGUACCGUGAGGGAAAGGCGAAAAGAACCCCGGCGAGGGGAGUGAAAAAGAACCUGAAACCGUGUACGUACAAGCAGUGGGAGCACAGGUUUACCUGUGUGACUGCGUACCUUUUGUAUAAUGGGUCAGCGACUUAUAUUCUGUAGCAAGGUUAACCGAAUAGGGGAGCCGGAGGGAAACCGAGUCUUAAUUGGGCGUUAAGUUGCAGGGUAUAGACCCGAAACCCGGUGAUCUAGCCAUGGGCAGGUUGAAGGUUGGGUAACACUAACUGGAGGACCGAACCGACUAAUGUUGAAAAAUUAGCGGAUGACCUGUGGCUGGGGGUGAAAGGCCAAUCAAACCGGGAGAUAGCUGGUUCUCCCCGAAAGCUAUUU